This 335-nucleotide ribosomal RNA is filed under the name uncultured soil bacterium. RNAcentral's name for it is "bacterial SSU rRNA". It matches the Rfam family "Bacterial small subunit ribosomal RNA", at positions 26 to 353 of the family's 1533-position model. The record is from RNAcentral.
AGAGUGAACGCUGGCGGUAGGCCUAACACAUGCAAGUCGAACGGCAGCACAGUAGGAGCUUGCUCUUACGGGUGGCGAGUGGCGGACGGGUGAGGAAUACAUCGGAAUCUACCUUUUGGUGGGGGAUAACGUAGGGAAACUUACGCUAAUACCGCAUACGCCCUUCGGGGGAAAGCCGGGGACCAGCAAUGGCCUGGCGCUGAUAGAUGAGCCGAUGUCGGAUUAGCUAGUUGGUGAGGUAAUGGCUCACCAAGGCGACGAUCCGUAGCUGGUCUGAGAGGAUGAUCAGCCACACUGGAACUGAGACACGGUCCAGACUCCGUACGGGAGCAGCA